UGCGUAGGCGGGUUUCUAAGUCAGAGGUGAAAGCCUGGAGCUCAACUCCAGAACUGCCUUUGAUACUGGAAGUCUUGAGUAUGGCAGAGGUGAGUGGAACUGCGAGUGUAGAGGUGAAAUUCGUAGAUAUUCGCAAGAACACCAGUGGCGAAGGCGGCUCACUGGGCCAUUACUGACGCUGAGGCACGGAAAGCGUGGGGAGCAAACA
Molecule: ribosomal RNA, 208 nt
Filed under: uncultured bacterium
Lineage: Bacteria
Description: partial 16S ribosomal RNA
Rfam family: Bacterial small subunit ribosomal RNA
Source: RNAcentral